GACGAACGCUGGCGGCGUGCUUAACACAUGCAAGUCGAACGGUAAGGCCUUUCGGGGUACACGAGCGGCGAACGGGUGAGUAACACGUGGGUGAUCUGCCCUGCACUUCGGGAUAAGCCCGGGAAACUGGGUCUAAUACCGGAUAGGACUGCGCGGUGCAUGCCGUGUGGUGGAAAGAUUUAUCGGUGCAGGAUGGGCCCGCGGCCUAUCAGCUUGUUGGUGGGGUAAUGGCCUACCAAGGCGACGACGGGUAGCCGGCCUGAGAGGGCGACCGGCCACACUGGGACUGAGACACGGCCCAGACUCCUACGGGAGGCAGCAGUGGGGAAUAUUGCACAAUGGGCGCAAGCCUGAUGCAGCGACGCCGCGUGAGGGAUGACGGCCUUCGGGUUGUAAACCUCUUUCAGCAGGGACGAAGCGUGAGUGACGGUACCUGCAGAAGAAGCACCGGCCAACUACGUG
This 462-nucleotide ribosomal RNA is filed under the name uncultured bacterium. RNAcentral describes it as "partial 16S ribosomal RNA". It matches the Rfam family "Bacterial small subunit ribosomal RNA", at positions 28 to 507 of the family's 1533-position model. The record is from RNAcentral.